This 520-nucleotide long non-coding RNA is filed under the name Brassica napus (rape). RNAcentral's name for it is "long non-coding RNA (BNAP_LNC014440)". The record is from RNAcentral. Lineage: Eukaryota; Viridiplantae; Streptophyta; Magnoliopsida; Brassicales; Brassicaceae.
UGAGAUCCACCAUGCGAGUGAACGGAUGUGGAAGCCCGUUAACGAAGGCGGUUGUGGGGGGGUGGGGGGAGAGGGGGUACAAACCUCCUUGUUCGUUAACAAACCUCAAUGUUGGAUUUCAUCUUUUUUUUUUUUUUUUGUCAAAAAAGAAAGAUGAAAUCCAACAUUGAGCUAAACAGUAAAUACAAUAUACUUAAAACAAAACUCUUCAACAUAUGUUUGUAGAAACUUUGACAUAAAAUAGGAAACACAUAGAAUACUCUUACAAAUGUAACGACGUAAAUUAAACAAUAACCAAAGUAGACGUUACUUUUAUUUUAUGUUUCAGCAACGAAAUAAACUCAAGGCUUUGUUAAAGUGUGUUGCUUUGGCUGCAAGGUACUCUUCCCAUGUCAAACGGCGGUACAGAGGAGGAUGGUCCGUGUCGGCAGUCAACGGACCGAUAUGAAGGUUCUUGGGUGGGCCUGAGAAAUAUGCGGCUGAGACACGGUGGUGCGUCUUGUUCACCACCGCACGGUGC